GCCUGGCUGGUUCAGUGGGUGGAACGUGUGACUCUUGAUCUCAGGGCUGUGGGUUCGAAAACUAUGUUGGGUG
This 73-nucleotide transfer RNA is filed under the name Mustela putorius furo (domestic ferret). It matches the Rfam family "tRNA". Rfam says of the family: Transfer RNA (tRNA) molecules are approximately 80 nucleotides in length. Their secondary structure includes four short double-helical elements and three loops (D, anti-codon, and T loops). The record is from Rfam by way of RNAcentral. Lineage: Eukaryota; Metazoa; Chordata; Mammalia; Carnivora; Mustelidae. RNAcentral also lists the same sequence under 1 other name.